GUCGUUGUAGUAUAGUGGUGAGUAUCCCCGCCUGUCACGUCGGAGACCCGGGUUCGAUCCCGGGCAAUGGCG
RNAcentral lists this transfer RNA (72 nucleotides) under Ipomoea nil (Japanese morning glory). It matches the Rfam family "tRNA". Rfam says of the family: Transfer RNA (tRNA) molecules are approximately 80 nucleotides in length. Their secondary structure includes four short double-helical elements and three loops (D, anti-codon, and T loops). The record is from Rfam by way of RNAcentral. Lineage: Eukaryota; Viridiplantae; Streptophyta; Magnoliopsida; Solanales; Convolvulaceae.